This is a long non-coding RNA of Elaeis guineensis (African oil palm), 892 nucleotides long. RefSeq lists it as uncharacterized. The record is from RefSeq and is a predicted model, not a curated record. NCBI's taxonomy places the organism in Eukaryota, Viridiplantae, Streptophyta, Magnoliopsida, Arecales, Arecaceae.
GAUAGCUUUAUUCUGCUGGAGUGGAAGUUUCUUUCUAGUAGUCCUAGUUCUUUGUAUGCCAGAUUCUUACAAGCAAAAAGCUAGUACACGCCGUCGUUACAGAUAUUUACGAUUUAUUUUAAACCCCUAGAACUUCCCACAUGACGUUAUAAAUGGCAGACCAUUGGCCAGACUACGUACAGAAAUACCUGCCUACAACCCUACUCCCAUCCAGAGAGAGAAGACAGGUAGAUAUGAGAGAAGAGUUAGGGAUGUGGGAGUCCACCAGACAUGUGAGUAUGAUCAGGAGGAAGUCAGAGGAAUCUAUUCAAGCCUCUCCCCGAGGCUCCCUCUAGAUUUGAAGGGGGGGGGGGAGGAAAGGUAAAGAAUGACCCCCGGCCCUCCUCCACUCUUGCCAACCUUCCAAGCUCUACUCUUCUAUAAGAACACCCCCUCUUCCCUCACUUUCCAUCUCCCUAUAAUUAACUUCUACCAGCUGAAUUAGUGCCUGCUUUGCGCUUUGUUCCCAUGUGUUGGAUUUAAGCUUGUCAACAGUUUGGAUGAUGAUAUCGCCUUCAGGGUUUCUGGCUUUUGGUUCUCUCUCUCUCUCUCUCUCUGGUUCAAAACUGCAGAUGGGAUGAGGCCAGGUGCAAGUUGACGAAGCUAGCCAGCUUUUGUGCCAAGCCAAGGGAUGCGUAGAGGCUAUGCAGGAAAUCAGUGCUGGUAUCUAAACCAUGGGAGUUAUGUGUGCUCUUUUUUUGUUUCCUCCUAAGUUUUGCUUAUUGUUUUGUUAUUCUAGAAACCAUGUAAACCGUGACUUGAGGUUGUGUUUGGUUUCCUUUCAUCUUUUUUACCUUUUUUUAUGUAUGGAAUUGGAUUUUACAAAUGCAGGAACUUUAGGAAUGUUUUCCAA